This 490-nucleotide ribosomal RNA is filed under the name uncultured bacterium. RNAcentral describes it as "partial 16S ribosomal RNA". It matches the Rfam family "Bacterial small subunit ribosomal RNA", at positions 30 to 507 of the family's 1533-position model. The record is from RNAcentral.
AUUGAACGCUGGCGGCAGGCCUAACACAUGCAAGUCGAACGGUAACAGGAAGCAGCUUGCUGCUUUGCUGACGAGUGGCGGACGGGUGAGUAAUGUCUGGGAAUCUGCCCGAUGGAGGGGGAUAACUACUGGAAACGGUAGCUAAUACCGCAUAACGUCGCAAGACCAAAGAGGGGGACCUUAGGGCCUCUUGCCAUCGGAUGUGCCCAGAUGGGAUUAGCUAGUAGGUGGGGUAACGGCUCACCUAGGCGACGAUCCCUAGCUGGUCUGAGAGGAUGACCAGCCACACUGGAACUGAGACACGGUCCAGACUCCUACGGGAGGCAGCAGUGGGGAAUAUUGCACAAUGGGCGCAAGCCUGAUGCAGCCAUGCCGCGUGUAUGAAGAAGGCCUUCGGGUUGUAAAGUACUUUCAGCGGGGAGGAAGGGAGUAAAGUUAAUACCGUUGCUCAUUGACGUUACCCGCAGAAGAAGCACCGGCUAACUCCGUG